UGGGGAAUCUUGCGCAAUGGGGGAAACCCUGACGCAGCAACGCCGCGUGGGUGAUGAAGGCCUUCGGGUCGUAAAGCCCUGUCAGGUGGGAAGAAACUUGUGGAUGUUAAUACCAUCCAUGCUUGACGGUACCACCGGAGGAAGCACCGGCUAACUCCGUGCCAGCAGCCGCGGUAAUACGGAGGGUGCAAGCGUUGUUCGGAAUUAUUGGGCGUAAAGCGCGUGUAGGUGGUCGUGUAAGUCAGAUGUGAAAGUCUUCUGCUUAACAGAAGAAGGGCAUUUGAAACUGCUCGACUAGAGUACGGGAGAGGAGAGUGGAAUUCCCGGUGUAGAGGUGAAAUUCGUAGAUAUCGGGAGGAACACCAGUGGCGAAGGCGGCUCUCUGGUCCGAUACUGACACUGAGACGCGAAAGCGUGGGGAGCAAACAGGAUUAGAUACCCUGGUAGUCUACGCCGUAAACGAUGGGCACUAGGUGUAGGAGGUAUUGACCCCUCCUGUGCCGAAGCUAACGCAUUAAGUGCCCCGCCUGGGGAGUACGGCCGCAAGGCUA
Molecule: ribosomal RNA, 551 nt
Filed under: uncultured bacterium
Lineage: Bacteria
Description: bacterial SSU rRNA
Rfam family: Bacterial small subunit ribosomal RNA
Source: RNAcentral